RNAcentral lists this transfer RNA (82 nucleotides) under Pseudomonadales bacterium. Its description in RNAcentral is "tRNA-Leu". It matches the Rfam family "tRNA". Rfam says of the family: Transfer RNA (tRNA) molecules are approximately 80 nucleotides in length. Their secondary structure includes four short double-helical elements and three loops (D, anti-codon, and T loops). Further hydrogen bonds mediate the characteristic L-shaped molecular structure. tRNAs have two regions of fundamental functional importance: the anti-codon, which is responsible for specific mRNA codon recognition, and the 3' end, to which the tRNAs corresponding amino acid is attached (by aminoacyl-tRNA synthetases). tRNAs cope with the degeneracy of the genetic code in two manners: having more than one tRNA (with a specific anti-codon) for a particular amino acid; and 'wobble' base-pairing, i.e. permitting non-standard base-pairing at the 3rd anti-codon position. Lineage: Bacteria; Pseudomonadati; Pseudomonadota; Gammaproteobacteria; Pseudomonadales. The record is from RNAcentral.
GGGGAUGUGGCGGAAUUGGUAUACGCGGGGGAUUUAGGAUCCUCUGACGAGAGUCAUGCGGGUUCGACUCCCGCCUUCCCCA